AUACGAAGGGGGCUAGCGUUGUUCGGAUUUACUGGGCGUAAAGCGCACGUAGGCGGAUUGAUAAGUUAGGGGUGAAAUCCCGAGGCUCAACCUCGGAACUGCCUCUAAUACUGUCAAUCUCGAGACCGGAAGAGGUGAGUGGAACUCCUAGUGUAGAGGUGGAAUUCGUAGAUAUUAGGAAGAACACCAGUGGCGAAGGCGGCUCACUGGUCCGGUACUGACGCUGAGGUGCGAAAGCGUGGGGAGCGAACAGGAUUAGAAACCCCAGUAGUCC
This 274-nucleotide ribosomal RNA is filed under the name uncultured bacterium. RNAcentral's name for it is "partial 16S ribosomal RNA". It matches the Rfam family "Bacterial small subunit ribosomal RNA", at positions 523 to 796 of the family's 1533-position model. The record is from RNAcentral.